This 1000-nucleotide ribosomal RNA is filed under the name uncultured Parcubacteria group bacterium. RNAcentral describes it as "bacterial SSU rRNA". It matches the Rfam family "Bacterial small subunit ribosomal RNA", at positions 43 to 1091 of the family's 1533-position model. The record is from RNAcentral.
GAUGGAUAGGCAUGCAAGUCGAAUGGGUUUAGACCCAUGGCAGACGAGGUAGUAACACGUAGGAACGUACCCGGAAGUCGGGCAUAACCGGUCGAAAGAUCGGAUAAUUCCCGAUACGUCGCAAGAUGAAAGAUUUAUCGCUUCCGGAGCGGCCUGCGUAAUAUCAGCUAGUUGGUGAGGUAAUGGCUCACCAAGGCUAUGACGUUUAGGGGACCUGAGAGGGUGACCCCCACCGAUGAAACUGAGACACGGUUCAUACCCCUACGGGGGGCUGCAGCCGAGAAUAUUCGACAAUGGGCGAAAGCCUGAUCGAGCGAUACCGCGUGGUGGAUGAAGCGAUUCGUCGCGUAAACAUCUUUUAUGAGGGAGGAAGUUAUUGACGUUACCUCAUGAAUAAGGGGCUCCUAACUCUGUGCCAGCAGGAGCGGUAAUACAGAGGCCCCAAGCAUUACCCGGAAUUACUGGGCGUAAAGGGUGCGUAGGUGGUCGUAUUAGUCGUCUGUUAAAAACCGGGGCUCAACCCCGGAAGUGCGGGCGAAACGGUACGACUCGAGAGCGUGAGAGGUGCAUAGAACUCUAGGUGUAGGGGUGAAAUCCGUUGAUAUCUAGGGGAAUACCGAAAGCGAAGGCAGUGCACCGGCGCGUUUCUGACACUGAAGCACGAAAGCGUGGGUAGCGAACGGGAUUAGAUACCCCGGUAGUCCACGCCCUAAACGAUGAUGACUGGCUUUACGGAGUAUCGACCCUCUGUGAGGCGAAGCUAACGCGUUAAGUCAUCCGCCUGGGUAGUACGGCCGCAAGGCUAAAACUCAAAGGAAUAGACGGGGGCUUGCACAAGCGGCGGAGCGUGUGGCUUAAUUCGUCGCUAAGCGAAGGACCUUACCAGGGCUAGAAAUCCUACUGCACGCCUAUCGAAAGAUGGGAAGCCUUCGAGGGUGUAGGACAGGUGAUGCAUGGCUGUCGUCAGUUCGUGGUUUGAAUCGUUCCCUUCAGUGGGGUA